CCUGCAAAACGAAUCUAAGUUCCCCCUUAACCCUCUUUUUCCUCCCCAGACAAACCCAACCCAAAUGUGAUAGUUAGGGGCUAUUUAAAGGGGGUACAGCCCCUUUAAAAAAGGACACAACCUCCACCAGCGGAUAACCCCUGUACGCCCAACCCCGUGGGCCUUAAAGCAGCCACCCCCAAAGAUUGCGUCAAAGCUCCAUCAACCAAAAACCCCCAAAACCAAUGCGACUCCCUACACCCACAGCAGGCCAACCUAUAACAAUAGAUGAGUCAAUGCUAGAACGAGUAACCAGGGCACUACGUCCCCCUAAGCGCCAGCCUGUAUACCAUUAACAGUAAAACCUCAAUAAUAACCACCCCCACCAUUGAACCCACCCUGUCAACCCAACUCAGGGGCGCACACUGGAGUGAUCAAAAUCUACAAAAGGAACUCGGCAAACCUAAGACCCGACUGUUUACCAAAAACAUAGCCUUCAGCCAAACAAGUAUUGAAGGUGAUGCCUGCCCAGUGACACCAUGUUUAACGGCCGCGGUA
This 537-nucleotide ribosomal RNA is filed under the name Ara macao (Scarlet macaw). RNAcentral describes it as "partial 16S large subunit ribosomal RNA". Lineage: Eukaryota; Metazoa; Chordata; Aves; Psittaciformes; Psittacidae. The record is from RNAcentral.